AGGAGGAAUCCCCGGCUAACUACGUGCCAGCAGCCGCGGUAAUACGUAGGGGGCCAGCGUCUUCCGGAAUUACUGGGCGUAAAGGGUGCGUAGGUGGUUUUUUAAGUCAGAAGUGAAAGGCUACGGCUCAACCGUAGUAAGCUUUUGAAACUAGAGAACCUGAGUGCAGGAGAGGAGAGUAGAAUUCCUAGUGUAGCGGUGAAAUGCGUAGAUAUUAGGAGGAAUACCAGUAGCGAAGGCGGCUCUCUGGACUGUAACUGACACUGAGGCACGAAAGCGUGGGGAGCAAACAGGAUUAGAUACCCUGGUAGUCCACGCCGUAAACGAUGAGUACUAGGUGUCGGGGGUUACCCCCCUCGGUGCCGCAGCUAACGCACUAAGUACUCCCGCCUGGGAAGUACGCCUCGCAAGAG
RNAcentral lists this ribosomal RNA (413 nucleotides) under uncultured bacterium. Its description in RNAcentral is "bacterial SSU rRNA". It matches the Rfam family "Bacterial small subunit ribosomal RNA", at positions 482 to 894 of the family's 1533-position model. The record is from RNAcentral.